GCAGCCGCCGCGGUAAUACAGAGGGUGCGAGCGUUAAUCGGAUUUACUGGGCGUAAAGCGUGCGUAGGCGGCUUCUUAAGUCGGAUGUGAAAUCCCUGAGCUUAACUUAGGAAUUGCAUUCGAUACUGGGAAGCUAGAGUAUGGGAGAGGAUGGUAGAAUUCCAGGUGUAGCGGUGAAAUGCGUAGAGAUCUGGAGGAAUACCGAUGGCGAAGGCAGCCAUCUGGCCUAAUACUGACGCUGAGGUACGAAAGCAUGGGGAGCAAACAGGAUUAGAGACCCCCGUAGUCCCUGUCUCUUAUAC
This 302-nucleotide ribosomal RNA is filed under the name uncultured bacterium. Its description in RNAcentral is "partial 16S ribosomal RNA". It matches the Rfam family "Bacterial small subunit ribosomal RNA", at positions 508 to 807 of the family's 1533-position model. The record is from RNAcentral.